RNAcentral lists this ribosomal RNA (327 nucleotides) under uncultured eukaryote. RNAcentral describes it as "partial 18S ribosomal RNA". It matches the Rfam family "Eukaryotic small subunit ribosomal RNA", at positions 1470 to 1796 of the family's 1831-position model. The record is from RNAcentral.
CCCUUAGAUGUUCUGGGCCGCACGCGCGCUACACUGACGAAUGCAACGAGCUUAUAACCUUGGCCGAAAGGUCUGGGUAAUCUCCAAAUUUCGUCGUGAUGGGGAUAGAUUAUUGCAAUUAUUAAUCUUCAACGAGGAAUGCCUAGUAAGCGCAAGUCAUCAGCUUGCGUUGAUUACGUCCCUGCCCUUUGUACACACCGCCCGUCGCUCCUACCGAUUGAAUGGUCCGGUGACGCGUUCGGACCGUGGCCUUUGGACGGUUCGCCGUCUGUUGGCUGCGGGAAGUUCGUUAAACCUUAUCAUUUAGAGGAAGGAGAAGUCGUAACA